This 396-nucleotide ribosomal RNA is filed under the name uncultured bacterium. Its description in RNAcentral is "partial 16S ribosomal RNA". It matches the Rfam family "Bacterial small subunit ribosomal RNA", at positions 523 to 918 of the family's 1533-position model. The record is from RNAcentral.
AUACGUAGGGGGCAAGCGUUGUCCGGAAUUACUGGGUGUAAAGGGAGCGCAGGCGGGGGAGCAAGUCAGCUGUGAAAUGCAUGGGCUUAACCGAUGAACUGCAGUUGAAACUGUUCUUCUUGAGUGAAGUAGAGGUUGGCGGAAUUCCGAGUGUAGCGGUGAAAUGCGUAGAUAUUCGGAGGAACACCGGUGGCGAAGGCGGCCAACUGGGCUUUUACUGACGCUGAGGCUCGAAAGUGUGGGGAGCAAACAGGAUUAGAUACCCUGGUAGUCCACACUGUAAACGAUGAUUGCUAGGUGUGGGGGGUCUGACCCCUUCUGUGCCGCAGCUAACGCAAUAAGCAAUCCACCUGGGGAGUACGGCCGCAAGGCUGAAACUCAAAGGAAUUGACGGGG